RNAcentral lists this ribosomal RNA (253 nucleotides) under uncultured bacterium. RNAcentral describes it as "partial 16S ribosomal RNA". It matches the Rfam family "Bacterial small subunit ribosomal RNA", at positions 524 to 776 of the family's 1533-position model. The record is from RNAcentral.
UACGGGGGGGGCAAGCGUUGUUCGGAAUUAUUGGGCGUAAAGGGCUUGUAGGCUGCCAACUAAGUCGGACGUGAAAUCCCUCGGCUUAACCGGGGAACUGCGUCUGAUACUGGAUGGCUUGAGUUUGGGAGAGGGAUGCGGAAUUCCAGGUGUAGCGGUGAAAUGCGUAGAUAUCUGGAGGAACACCGGUGGCGAAGGCGGCAUCCUGGACCAGCACUGACGCUGAUGAGCGAAAGCCAGGGGAGCAAACGGG